Arvicola amphibius (Eurasian water vole) is the source of this 4332-nucleotide long non-coding RNA. RefSeq lists it as uncharacterized. The transcript has 5 exons. The record is from RefSeq and is a predicted model, not a curated record. NCBI's taxonomy places the organism in Eukaryota, Metazoa, Chordata, Mammalia, Rodentia, Cricetidae.
AUUGGAGUGAACCAACUAGGACAAAAGACAGGGGAAAGGUAAAAUGAAACACUUCAAAAAUCAGUAUUCCAGAGAGGCAGUACCAGAGCACUAAGGAAUGGCGUUGAAUCUGGAGCUGAAGAAACAAGGCAGCAACAGUCUGUGCGAGUCACUUACUUCAUUUGAGACUGAUUUCCAAGUGAUUUAAAAUUCAGGAAUUCUGUUUACGUGAUAGAGUCCUCUUUAGCACAGUUGAAAUGGACUGUGAAGAAUUCAAUUUCAGUGUUUUUACACGGAUUUAAUUAUUUUCUCAUCAUGAUAAUGGCUGGACCUGGCAUCAGAGAAUCAAGUGUAAACUUGGAGCUAUCUGCUUGGGGCUUUCCUUACUGUGGUAAUGUGAACAUGGAUUUCAACUGUUACAGCUGACUGCACAGUACUUGUAUCUCACUUUUUAAAGAAAAAAAUCAAUUCCUUUCUUAGCACACACUCAGUCAUUCAGCUUACUGAGAACAUUUUAUGUUUUCUGAACCCAACACAAUGAGAGAGGGUACUAUCAUACCUCUGUGUGAAUUAGUUAUUCAAGUUAGGAACAGCAUCAAAAGAUUUGGUGCAUGAUAGUGCCUCACAUUUGCUCUAUGUUGACAGCAAAAGCAGAAGCUUUUUUGGGGGGAAUGCCCAAAAAAAUCAGCUAAAGUCUAACACCAGUAGUAUUUCAAGUACAUGUUUGGUGGCAAGAAUAUAAAUUAGAAUGAGUAUCAUGGCAGAAAAGAACAGGGAAUUCAGGAGGACGAUGUCUCAAAUUCCAAAGGAAGGUUGAUUAUGGCAAUUAUUCUGAGAAGAUAUAAUAUCUGGACUACAAAAGACAAUUACUGGCUCCUUGACUUAGUUCCUGGUUACUAAAAUAAGGUAAAACAGGGCCUGAGAGACACUGGGUUUAGGAACCAUUUGAAUCAUACCAGGGUACGGCUUCAGUGCAGUGUUUGGUAAAGUUUCAAGUACUUUAAUAAAUCAUCGUCAAAAUCACAGCCUUGCUCUUUUUCUAGGUUUAUCCCUAUGAGCAGGAGACAAGUGUAUAACUUAACACCUCUGUGGCUGUUAAGUUGCCCAAACUGAAAGAAGUAACAGCUGUAACAGUUGAAAUCCAUGUUCACAUUCAAGUGUAAUUGAAUUCUUUCAGUUUGGGCAUCUUAACUUUCAUUCAUUCCUUAUCUCUAAGAUGAGGACAAUAACUGAUUUCUUGCUGGAUUUGUAAAGUUGUAAAAAUACCUGAGAAUUUAUUUAGCAUAAUGACAGUGUCCCAUCUCCUCUACUAUGUCUUUGACUCAAGGCUGCUCUACCUGUAAUAAAAAAGACUCAACAACAUCGAAAACACUUUUAAAAAAAUCAAACCAGUCUUGAGGACCUCUCUAAGAUCUGAAAUAAACUUUUGUUUUCUAAAAUUCUUUGAUCUGUGCAGGCAUGCCGGGAGACUGUUUAGAUUUCAUUUUUUUCCUUGGGGGUGGCAAUAAAACUUGGGCAUCUAUUCUUACUUUUCACAGUCUUAUAUAUGGCUUAGAAAAAAUAUAUACAAGAAAAUUCAGAAUGAUAAACCCACUUUUACUUUACAUAAAAAUCAAAUUAAAAAUAGAUAUAUGCAGGAUGUAAACAUAAACAUCCAGAAAAUAUUAUACAUGCUCUGGAAUACAAACCUAUCUACUGUUGAUGAAUGGGUGAAGUGAAUGUGCUACAUUUAUACAAUGGAAUAUUACGCAGGCUUUAAAAAAUUAAAUCAUGAAAUUUGCAGCUAAAUGAAUGGAUGGAACUAGAAAAAGUUCUCCUGAGUGAAGCAACACAGACCCAGAAAGACAAAUAUGGUGUAUAUUGGCUUAUCUGUGGAUAUUAGCAGUAAAGUCAAAGAUAACCAAGUUAUAAUGUAUAAAAUCACAGAAGUUAUGUAUAAAUUAAGGUUGGGGGUUGAGAGUUACCCCUAAAAAAUGGAAAUAGAACAGAUAAUUAAAUAUAGAUGCAUGGAGAGCUGUAAUGGGAUGAUCAAGUGGGUAGGGGAAGAAAAGAGGGAGAUGAAGAAAUACAGGGAAAGACAACUAAAAUUAAGGUCUAUUUGAAGUGUAGUAUGAAAACCUGAUACUAUAGAAGCUUUAUAAAAUAUAUACAUAUAUGAAGGGGAUAUAAAUAAGAUUGCCAAAUAAUGGGAGGCAGAGCCUCAACUUGCUAUCCCUUGUCACCAAAUGAAGCUUCUAAUACCAUAACUGGCUUACAUCUAAUUAAGUUAUUGGUCAAAGAGUUCCCAUAGGACCCCCCAAACAAUCUGACCUAUAUACAAAACAAGUUGCUCUCCAGAAACUGAUGGGAAGUUCCCAUUGCUUAACAAAGCAUCUACAUAACUCAUUGUCCGUGGAGAAGUGGAAUUGAUCUGCUGCAUACAUAGAGCCUUUACCUUCAUGUGCUAGCUCGUGUCUUUGGUACAGGAGGGCACGCUGUAUGCUACCAAAGGAUAAACAUAAACACCAACCCCAUCCCAAAAUCUUUGAUCUACAAUAGUGACCUGCUUGCAUAUGCUAAGGUACAAAAUGUUUGUAGGAGUAACCAACCAAUAUUUGAAGGUGGUCUCAAGCUAGAUAAAGGUUAAUUCUCUGUUUCAAUGUCAUACUGAUAUCUCCAAACACACAUUUGGAGUGAACAUAAUAAGAAAUAAUUUACUUUAAACUUUUCUCACUUGUCUACUAAAGUGCACAGCUUUCCAAGGGUGUAUUUGCAAUAUUUUUCCUGUGUUUUAUUCUAUAACCAUCCUGUCCCCUUUCCAAUGACAAAGUAUGUAUGUAUGAGUGCUCUCAAAGAAAGAAGCAGUAUAAAGCAAACCAGUAAAGAUGGGUUUUAUGAGAGGACUUAUUAGAUAACUAGAUGUUUCAAAUAAUGCUACCUGCAACUUUCAGAAUACGAAUACUAAAAAAAUAAUUCAGGUUAGAUCUGUAAGCAUCUAUAAGCUCUAAGUACAUGGUUAGCUCUUUUGUAGUCAACAGCAAAAGGCUUCAAAACCUAUAGAAGAUCUGAUGAAGGUUCAAGAAACCAAAGGCUAGAGAUCUUGGGGUUCUUGUGAGCAAGAUGGAAGAAAAAGAAUGUCACAACUCCAUAAGAAAAUAAAACCUCAUAUCUCCUCUCUCUUUUGUUCUGUCUUGGCCCUCAGCUGAUUAGCUGGUGCCUGCCUAUAUUGAGAGUGGAUCUUACCUACUCUUUCCACCACCUCCCAAGCUAAUCUCCUAUAAGAUCUCUUCCAGAGACAAACCCAGAAAUAAUGCUUUGCCAGCUGCACGCGCCACUCAACUCACCCAAACUGGCUUCUAAAAUUAAAUGUAACAGUACAUUACUAAAUAUUUUCUCUGCUGCUUCAUUCAUGGAAUUAUUGUAUUACCAUCAGGUAACUAUCAACUGACAUUUUAUAGGAGAAGAAUUCAUAAGUCGUAUUUUCUUUCAUUUUUUUCUCUCUAUCCUUACCUUUAACUCUUAUUUCACAAAUAUGCAUCUGAGAAUUUGUGAUUAUAGAACUAGCUAACUAAUGUCAGUAAGUUCGUGAAGUGGAAUAGAAUAUAAAUAUUGUUUCUUCUCGCUAAAUGAUUUUCACAUUCUGGUGGAUAGGUGGAAGCUCACAGAAUAAGAAUUACAUAGAGAAGUGUAGGAACCCAUAGCAGAUUCAGCAAGUCAGAGUUGACCAUUGUCCAAAGGGUGCUCCCGUGUCAGCCUACCUGCUAUAUAGGAGCAAGAAAUUAAAAACCCCUCUGCCAUUUUUUCCUUUUUAUCUUUCUUUCAUUUUUUAGACUAAAGAAUACUAAAAUUUCUUUACAACAGAACCCUGUGUUCCUUUCCAGCUAUAAUGGUUAUUCUAAUUCAACCUCUACAGGAUAUUGGGCUGAAGCCAACACUGAAAGCUGGGAAAGUUUUAGAAAUCUACCAGGUCACUGAACUUGCAAAGAGUUCUGAGUGAUUCCUGAGAAAUUACCUGCCAUGCAAAAUAACAGCUCAGCCUAUUCUAAAAGCAAGGGAAUAAAACAUAACGAGCAAGCACACUGCCAAAGGUCUGGUGCCCAAAUUUGCGAGAGCUCCUGAAAGAAAUGAAGAAAGAAAAAUAUUCCAAUUUGUGCUGCUCAUUUCUACUCACUGGAACAUGAUGGAACUCCCAAUGGCCAGUCCCUUAAAGAAAACUGAGUCCUUCCCCACUUGUACCCCUAUCAGAAACCACCAGUUGUGGAGAACUACACUUUGUUGACUGAAGUUUCUGUCCAUCCUGGUCCCACAGCUAUUCGGUCCCCACAAAAAUACAGAGAUGUCUACAACAUUAAUCAUAAACUGGAUGGAUUAGUA